CAAUACCAUGAGUAAAGUGGCGCGCGGGUGAGUAACACGUGACUAACCUACCCUGGAGUGGGGGAUAACCGAGGGAAACCUCAGCUAAUACCGCAUAAUACCCACGGGUCAAAGGAGCAAUUCGCUUCAGGAGGGGGUCGCGGCCGAUUAGUUAGUUGGCGGGGUAAUGGCCCACCAAGACUGUGAUCGGUAUCCGGCCUGAGAGGGCGCACGGACACACUGGAACUGAAACACGGUCCAG
Molecule: ribosomal RNA, 241 nt
Filed under: uncultured bacterium
Lineage: Bacteria
Description: partial 16S ribosomal RNA
Rfam family: Bacterial small subunit ribosomal RNA
Source: RNAcentral